AGAGUUUGAUCAUGGCUCAGGACGAACGCUGGCGGCGUGCUUAACACAUGCAAGUCGAGCGGAAAGGCCCUUUCGGGGUACUCGAGCGGCGAACGGGUGAGUAACACGUGAGUAACCUGCCCCUGACUCUGGGAUAAGCCUGGGAAACCGGGUCUAAUACCGGAUACGACCACCGGCCGCAUGGCCUGGUGGUGGAAAGAUCCAUCGGUUGGGGAUGGGCUCGCGGCCUAUCAGCUUGUUGGUGGGGUAGUGGCCUACCAAGGCGACGACGGGUAGCCGGCCUGAGAGGGCGACCGGCCACACUGGGACUGAGACACGGCCCAGACUCCUACGGGAGGCAGCAGUGGGGAAUCUUGCGCAAUGGGCGAAAGCCUGACACAGCGACGCCGCGUGGGGGAUGACGGCCUUCGGGUUGUAAACCUCUUUCAGCAGGGACGAAGUUGACGUGUACCUGCAGAAGAAGCGCCGGCUAACUACGUGCCAGCAGCCGCGGUAAUACGUAGGGCGCAAGCGUUGUCCGGAAUCAUUGGGCGUAAAGAGCUCGUAGGUGGCCGGUCGCGUCUGCCGUGAAAGCCCGCAGCUUAACUGCGGGUCUGCGGUGGAUACGGGCCGGCUAGAGGUAGGCAGGGGCAAGUGGAAUUCCUGGUGUAGCGGUGAAAUGCGCAGAUAUCAGGAGGAACACCGGUGGCGAAGGCGGCUUGCUGGGCCUUACCUGACGCUGAGGAGCGAAAGCGUGGGGAGCGAACAGGAUUAGAUACCCUGGUAGUCCACGCCGUAAACGUUGGGCGCUAGGUGUGGGAUCCUUCCACGGGUUCCGUGCCGGAGCUAACGCAUUAAGCGCCCCGCCUGGGGAGUACGGCCGCAAGGCUAAAACUUAAAUGAAUUGACGG
Molecule: ribosomal RNA, 890 nt
Filed under: uncultured bacterium
Lineage: Bacteria
Description: bacterial SSU rRNA
Rfam family: Bacterial small subunit ribosomal RNA
Source: RNAcentral